Molecule: long non-coding RNA, 1570 nt
Organism: Cyprinus carpio carpio
Lineage: Eukaryota; Metazoa; Chordata; Actinopteri; Cypriniformes; Cyprinidae
Source: Ensembl
UUCCAUUUCAUUCAUUUAAACAUUUUGGGUCCCAAUUUCUCCCGAAUGGAGAGAGUAAGUCUGUCCAAGUUGAAAAAAAAAAAAAGUACAAGUCCUCUUCACAAUAUGUACAGGCACAUAUACACAAUCGUUAGCAAACUAUACACAAUACAAAUACAAAAGAGUACAUCUUUAGACUGGGUUUAAGUUCUCUUUUAACCCCAACUUCAUUAGAAAAUUACCAUAUAUUAUUUUUUUUUACCCUUGUAUAAAAGUUGUGUAAAACUCGGUGCCGGGCAAGGGCUCCAUAUACACCAACAAUUCUCUAAACAAUGGUCUGAAUUGUAUAUCUGCAAAGAUACAAAGCCAUAUUCCACACAACUGGCAAAACAGGAAAUCGCAAGACUGUACAAAUAGAAGGUUUCGCUGCAUUCUCUUAGAGAAAAGUGUCCAUAACAGGAGAUUCGCCAAAAAACUUCACCAUCAUGUACGAAGCGCUACAAUUACUUACAAACUCUCAUGCAUACACACACACUUUCUUCUGAGAAGUGUUUUUAUGAGUCGGACACUGAUAAUGCAGCCCAUCGAGUGAACCUCUCAUAAAGCACCCCAAUCAGAAAAUCCAAUCAAAUCUCAAGCAUGCAUCAGCCUAUAAUAAUCAAAAAACACACCAAGAGGCCAAACACAUUCAACAACUGACUAAUAAACAUAUACAGGAUGAGCAAACUAAUACGUUUUCCAUUUUUAAAACACAACUCUGUGCAUACAUUAGUAUGAUGAAGCGUAAUAGUUUAAAAUCUCACAAAUAAAUGCAGGAACAGGGAAGCCUUCAAAAAUGCCUUUGAGAUGUCCAGAUAGCAUUGAAUUAAUUAUUUUCAGUUCUAUACAUAAAAGGGAUCGUGUUAAAGCACAUGGCGUCAGCUACAAAAAAAAUUUACAUUAUGGGUGAGCCAAAAUGUAACCACAAAGUGCUUCAGGCAAACACAAAUCAUGACCAUUUUAAGAAGCUUAAAAGAAUAGAUGCACAAAAAAAAAAAAAAAAUCGCCCCAGGAAAUGAGCCGGUAGGGCAAACUACAAAUGACUGAGCUACACAUUGUUUUACAUUGAAUCCAUUGAGAUUGACGGCUAUAAUCCUGAGAUGCACUGCAGUCCAGAGACUAAAAGCCUUGUAUGAUCUUCACAGAGUUCAUCUUUUCCUGUAUUUGGCAAGUAAUGUCAAGCACGUUUACUUAAAUUGUAGACGUUAUAAAAAGUAACAAAGAAGGCACAUUGGCAGUCAUGUAUAAAUAAGCAGUAUUUACAAUAUAAUAAGUUAGUUUCUAUUCAGUGUCUGAUGUACACAACUCUCAAUCCGACUGCUGCUUUUCUAAUCAUUGGGACCAAGUGAAUAAAGAUGCUUUUCUUCAUUUGCCAACCGAAAUCCAAUGUCCCAUGUUGUGCAAAGUAUAAUUAUAUUUUUUUUCUCUGUUGAUUUAGGAGCGAAAUGUAGCCCAGACCCAUAUUGCAUAGGGAUCUAUCAGAAAUCUUGGGAGUGAAGGCGUAUUAAAGGGAUACACCACCCCAAAAUGAAAAUUGUGUCAUUAAUCACUU